UCAUGAGGAUUGCCCACCUGAAUUAGCAAAUGACAACAUCUAGGUGAACCUGACUGAUUUCAGAAAGCUAAACAAGGUUGGGUCUGGUUAGUACUUGGAUGGGANACCACCAAGAAAUCCAAGCUCUGCAGGCA
Molecule: ribosomal RNA, 134 nt
Filed under: Salvator merianae (Argentine black and white tegu)
Lineage: Eukaryota; Metazoa; Chordata; Lepidosauria; Squamata; Teiidae
Source: RNAcentral